RNAcentral lists this ribosomal RNA (1973 nucleotides) under human gut metagenome. Its description in RNAcentral is "bacterial LSU rRNA". It matches the Rfam family "Bacterial large subunit ribosomal RNA", at positions 3 to 1985 of the family's 2925-position model. The record is from RNAcentral.
UCAAGUAAGUAAGGGCGUACGGCGGAUGCCUUGGCCAUAUCAGCCGAAGAAGGACGCGAUAAGCUGCGAUAAGCUGCGGUGAGGUGCAAGUAACCAUUGACCCGCAGAUCUCCGAAUGGGGAAACCCGGCAGCAGGAGUGCUGUCAUCCUCUAAGAGGAAGGGCACCCGGUGAACUGAAACAUCUAAGUAGCCGGAGGAAAAGGAAUCAACAGAGAUACCCCAAGUAGCGGCGAGCGAACGGGGCAGAGCCCAAACCGUCACGGGAAACCGGGACGGGGUUGCGGACUGCGAUCAACUGCCAGCGUGAAGCAGAAUCAGGUGGGAACCUGAGCCAGAGACGGUGAGAGCCCGGUAGGCGUAAGCAACGGCAGGGAGCAGGAUCCAGAGUACCACGAGACACGAGAAACCUUGUGGGAAGCAGGGGGGACCACCCUCCAAGGCGAAAUACUGAUAUGGACCGAUAGCGCAUAGUACCGUGAGGGAAAGGUGAAAAGAACCCCGGGAGGGGAGUGAAAGAGAACCUGAAACCGUAUGUCUACAAGCAGUCGAAGCACAUUAGUGGUGCAACGGCGUGCCUAUUGAAGAAUGAACCGGCGAGUUAUUUCAUCCAGCGAGGUUAAGCAGGAAAUGUGGAGCCGCAGCGAAAGCGAGUCUGAACAGGGCGAGGAGUUGGAUGGAAUAGACCCGAAACCACAGUGAUCUACCCAUGUCCAGGUUGAAGCACAGGUAAAAAUGUGUGGAGGACCGAACCAGUGAGCGUUGAAAAGCUUUUGGAUGAGAUGUGGGUAGGGGUGAAAUGCCAAUCGAACGUGGAGAUAGCUGGUUCUCCCCGAAAUAGCUUUAGGGCUAGCCUCAUGGUAAGAGUACAGGCGGUAGAGCACUGAACAGGGUAGGGGCCUAUCCGGCUACUGAACCUAAUCAAACUACGAAUGGCUGUACUUAUACAUGGGAGUCAGACUGCGAGUAAUAAGACCCGUAGUCAAGAGGGAAACAGCCCAGACCAACAGCUAAGGUCCCCAAUGCCGUACUAAGUGGCGAAGGAUGUGGAAUUUCGAAAACAACCAGGAUGUUGGCUCAGAAGCAGCCACCAUUAAAAGAGUGCGUAAUAGCUCACUGGUCGAGAGACUCUGCGCCGAAGAUGACCGGGGCUAAAGUACGGAACCGAAGCUUUGGCAGUUAGUCAAACUAACUGGGUAGGGGAGCGUUCCUGCAUGGGAGAAGCCUGACCGGAAGGACAGGUGGACAGGCAGGAAGAGAGAAUGCCGGUAUGAGUAGCGAAAAGAAAGGUGAGAAUCCUUUCCACCGAAAGCCAAAGGGUUCCUGGGCAACGCUCGUCGUCCCAGGGUAAGUCGGGACCUAAUCCGAGGCGAAGACGCGUAGGAGAUGGACAACAGGUUGAAAUUCCUGUACUGACAGUUCUCGUUUGAGCGAGGGAGUGACGCAAGAAGGAAGGCGCGCAUGCGGUUGGAAGCGCAUGUCCAAGCAGGUAGGUUGAAUGGCAGGCAAAUCCGUCAUUCUGAAAGCCGAGAUGCGAUGGGGAGUUUCUGGAGACAGAAACGAAGGGGCUGGGACUCGAUUGCCAAGAAAAGCUUCUAGUGAGAGAACUGCCACCCGUACCGCAAACCGACACAGGUAGGCAGGAAGAGAAUUCUAAGGUGCGCGGGAAAACCCUCGUUAAGGAACUCGGCAAAAUAUAUCCGUAACUUAGGGAAAAGGAUAGCCCGGAGAGUGUGAAGAGCCGAAACGCUCGGAGCAUGAACGGGCGGCAGAAGAGAGGCCCAAGCGACUGUUUACCACAAACACAGGCGUCUGCGAAAGGGAAACCUGAAGUAUAGAUGCUGACACCUGCCCGGUGCUGGAAGGUUAAGAGGACUUGUUAGCGCAAGCGAAGCAGAGAAUUGAAGCCCCAGUAAACGGCGGCCGUAACUAUAACGGUCCUAAGGUAGCGAAAUUCCUUGUCGGGUAAGUUCCG